GCGGCGCUCGCCGCACUGGUUGUUCAGCACCUUCGGUCCGGUUGAGGUUGUCAAGUCGGACCAAACAGGUUGUUUCUCUGCAGUUUCCAGUAAGUGACCGUUCCAGCCGGGGCUGUGGCUAGAGUGUGAAGGCAAACCGGUACAUGGCAGGGAGGUUUAAUAGACAUGGAUAAGAAGUCCACUCACAGAAAUCCUGAAGAUGCCAGGGCUGGCAAAUAUGAAGGUAAACACAAACGAAAGAAAAGAAGAAAGCAAAACCAAAACCAGCACCGAUCCCGACAUAGAUCAGUGACGUCUUUUUCUUCAGAUGAUCCUAUGUUUCCUUCUUCCUCAUCAUCGUCUUCAGGAAGCCAGACAGAUUCAAGUAUUGAAGGUAGACAAAAUAUGAAACACCAAGAAAAAGAGAAGGAAAAAAAGGAGGAAACAACCACAUAUGUCACCUUUCCAAG
Molecule: long non-coding RNA, 449 nt
Filed under: Homo sapiens (human)
Lineage: Eukaryota; Metazoa; Chordata; Mammalia; Primates; Hominidae
Description: HSALNT0021255
Source: RNAcentral